AGCGCGGUCGGAGCUAGCUGCCGGCUGCUGUUGCUAGGGGCGACUCGUCCUGUUGGGUCUGAGGGGGUGGUGCCGUCGGAAAGGUCUUGCUUGGUCUCCUCUCUAGCGGGCGGAGAGUUCCAAUGGUCCAGAUUGCCUGGGCAUCCCUGACCCCUCCGGACCACUUCCCUAGAGGGCAUCCUGUGCCCGACUGCUGGGCUGGCAUUUGCAGAGUACAGAUCUAGGCUGUCUGGAUUAUACUACACAUGAAGAGCCUACUGUUUGCAAAAAUUGACUUUUCUUUCCCGCGGCCACGCUGCAAAGGAUGGAGCUCCAGCAGCGAAGCAGCAGUCACUGGUCUAGCUGAAGAGGAAGGAGCCAGGCUCCUGCUUCGUAACCGAGGCAUCUAGCAUCCAGCCAAAGAACUUUUUUGCCUCUGACUAAGGAGCCACUGGUUAUCGGAGCCGGCUCAAUUGAAUACCCAUUCGGAUGAAAGAGUGAAGUAUAAAAUAACAAGGUAGCACAAAAAGCUGGGAAGAGGGACUCGAUGAGAUCACGUAGACGCCCCCAGGAUCAGAUCCUAAAUGCCGCCUCAGUGUAGCCGCAUAAGAUGCUCAGGCACAGCACGUGACCUAAAGUCUGGAUCUUCAAACACCAGCAUCACAUCCAGAGAGGCCAGAGGGUCCCAAGACAAAACAAGCCGGGGCCAAGACGCACUCAGAGCUCCUAUCUCACCCUCUUAGGGGUGUGCUCGGGGCACCAGAUGGGUUAUUAAAUGUUAUUCUCUUUCUCCCUUUUUGGUUAAGCAGAGGACUGCAGAGGAAAGCCUCUGAAUCAAAUGUUUGCUCCACACAGUUCAACUGAAAUGUAGGUUGUGAUGAGUGGACACGUGCUCCACAGCUAAGAGACCAACCGAGGGCAUCCUAUCCCACUCGUGGGUCUAAGGGGAGACUUACAGAAGGCAUACUUACUCUGAAGAUGGAAUGAUAGCUGAAGAGACAGAGUGAUGCCUAGGGCCUGUCAGACACCCAGUUUAGCCUAAUACAGAAAAGCACGGAGGUGAGAAACAACAGGGUGAAUCCAAGGAAAUUCAACAGGAGCAUGUGAGAGGCAGGAGCCAGGGAGAGUUAGACAUGGCCCGAAACAAGUUCUCCCCUCCACCCUGAGGAAUUCUGGUGCUUCAGCACUGGCUCCUGAAGAAUUGGGGAAACUUCCCAGAAGGUUGUCAGCCUCUCUCCGGCAGGAGCUUUACAGAGGUCUGUGGACACUUCAGAGCACCCACACGGGCCAGAGAAGUAACUGGUCACGAGGCUUCCCCCAGGGGGACUUCCUCACUCAAGCGACACAUUAAACUCUGAGUCAAUGAAUGCCAGAGGUUAGGGGUAAAGAUGACAGCACUUCACCUCAAGCUACCUCCUAGUUUUCAUAAAGUUUGGAAUUGAAGCUGACGAGAUGUAGACUCACCGUAAAGAGCUGGAAGCAGCAAGCAUAUCUGUGGCCCAUGAAAAGGGAGAGGGGGACCAGGAGGGCAUGGGCUGGAGAAGGACGAGGUUGUGUCCAGAGGAAUGGAGCAAUUAAACUUUAAACUAUUCUUUUCAUAA
This 1580-nucleotide long non-coding RNA is filed under the name Mus musculus (house mouse). RNAcentral describes it as "RIKEN cDNA 2810029C07 gene". Lineage: Eukaryota; Metazoa; Chordata; Mammalia; Rodentia; Muridae. The record is from RNAcentral.